GCCAGUGUAGUGUAGUGGUUAGAGCACUGUACUAGGACUCUGGAGACCAGGGUUCGAAUCCCAGCUCUGCCA
Non-coding RNA from Phrynosoma platyrhinos (Desert horned lizard), 72 nucleotides. Lineage: Eukaryota; Metazoa; Chordata; Lepidosauria; Squamata; Phrynosomatidae. The record is from the annotation of a GenBank genome assembly.